This 435-nucleotide ribosomal RNA is filed under the name uncultured bacterium. RNAcentral's name for it is "partial 16S ribosomal RNA". It matches the Rfam family "Bacterial small subunit ribosomal RNA", at positions 29 to 507 of the family's 1533-position model. The record is from RNAcentral.
AGCGAACGCUGGCGGCAGGCUUAACACAUGCAAGUCGAGCGGGCAUAGCAAUAUGUCAGCGGCAGACGGGUGAGUAACGCGUGGGAACGUACCUUUUGGUUCGGAACAACACAGGGAAACUUGUGCUAAUACCGGAUAAGCCCUUACGGGGAAAGAUUUAUCGCCGAAAGAUCGGCCCGCGUCUGAUUAGCUAGUUGGUGAGGUAAUGGCUCACCAAGGCGACGAUCAGUAGCUGGUCUGAGAGGAUGAUCAGCCACAUUGGGACUGAGACACGGCCCAAACUCCUACGGGAGGCAGCAGUGGGGAAUAUUGGACAAUGGGCGCAAGCCUGAUCCAGCCAUGCCGCGUGAGUGAUGAAGGCCCUAGGGUUGUAAAGCUCUUUUGUGCGGGAAGAUAAUGACGGUACCGAAAGAAUAAGCCCCGGCUAACUUCGUG